This 366-nucleotide ribosomal RNA is filed under the name uncultured eukaryote. RNAcentral describes it as "partial 18S ribosomal RNA". It matches the Rfam family "Eukaryotic small subunit ribosomal RNA", at positions 592 to 976 of the family's 1831-position model. The record is from RNAcentral.
CAAUAGCGUAUAUUAAAGUUGUUGCAGUUAAAAAGCUCGUAGUUGAAUUUCUGGCGGGCGCGCCGGUCUUCCAUGUGUUGUACUGGGCGCAGUCCGCCAUCCUUGUGGAGAGGGCUCGCAUUGAGUUGCGUGUCGGAUCUGCAUCAUUUACUGUGAAAAAAUUAGAGUGUUUAAAGCAGGCUGUCGCUUGAAUACAUUAGCAUGGAAUAAUAAGAUAGGACUUCGGUCUAUUUUGUUGGUUGCGAACCGAGGUAAUGAUUAAUAGGGAUAGUUGGGGGUAUUCAUAUUUAAUUGUCAGAGGUGAAAUUCUUGGAUUUAUGAAAGAUGAACAACUGCGAAAGCAUUUACCAAGGAUGUUUUCAUUAA